GAGGGGAGGUAAACCAACGAGAACUGCUAAUUCUUGCCUCCGAGUAUAAAAACCUCGGUCCCCUUA
Molecule: transfer RNA, 66 nt
Filed under: Spizella atrogularis (Black-chinned sparrow)
Lineage: Eukaryota; Metazoa; Chordata; Aves; Passeriformes; Passerellidae
Description: tRNA-Ser
Source: RNAcentral